UUAAAUUGAAGAGUUUGAUCAUGGCUCAGAUUGAACGCUGGCGGCAGGCCUAACACAUGCAAGUCGAACGGUAACAGGAAGCAGCUUGCUGCUUUGUUGACGAGUGGCGGACGGGUGAGUAAUGUCUGGGAAACUGCCUGAUGGAGGGGGAUAACUACUGGAAACGGUGGCUAAUACCGCAUAACGUCGCAAGACCAAAGAGGGGGACCUUCGGGCCUCUUGUCAUCAGAUGUGCCCAGAUGGGAUUAGCUUGUUGGUGAGGUAACGGCUCACCAAGGCGACGAUCCCUAGCUGGUCUGAGAGGAUGACCAGCCACACUGGAACUGAGACACGGUCCAGACUCCUACGGGAGGCAGCAGUGGGGAAUAUUGCACAAUGGGCGCAAGCCUGAUGCAGCCAUGCCGCGUGUAUGAAGAAGGCCUUCGGGUUGUAAAGUACUUUCAGCGGGGAGGAAGGUGUUGUGGUUAAUAACCGCAGCAAUUGACGUUACCCGCAGAAGAAGCACCGGCUAACUCCGUGCCAGCAGCCGCGGUAAUACGGAGGGUGCAAGCGUUAAUCGGAAUUACUGGGCGUAAAGCGCACGCAGGCGGUCUGUCAAGUCGGAUGUGAAAUCCCCGGGCUCAACCUGGGAACUGCAUUCGAAACUGGCAGGCUUGAGUCUUGUAGAGGGGGGUAGAAUUCCAGGUGUAGCGGUGAAAUGCGUAGAGAUCUGGAGGAAUACCGGUGGCGAAGGCGGCCCCCUGGACAAAGACUGACGCUCAGGUGCGAAAGCGUGGGGAGCAAACAGGAUUAGAUACCCUGGUAGUCCACGCCGUAAACGAUGUCUACUUGGAGGUUGUGCCCUUGAGGCGUGGCUUCCGGAGCUAACGCGUUAAGUAGACCGCCUGGGGAGUACGGCCGCAAGGUUAAAACUCAAAUGAAUUGACGGGGGCCCGCACAAGCGGUGGAGCAUGUGGUUUAAUUCGAUGCAACGCGAAGAACCUUACCUGGUCUUGACAUCCACAGAACUUUCCAGAGAUGGAUUGGUGCCUUCGGGAACUGUGAGACAGGUGCUGCAUGGCUGUCGUCAGCUCGUGUUGUGAAAUGUUGGGUUAAGUCCCGCAACGAGCGCAACCCUUAUCCUUUGUUGCCAGCGAUUAGGUCGGGAACUCAAAGGAGACUGCCAGUGAUAAACUGGAGGAAGGUGGGGAUGACGUCAAGUCAUCAUGGCCCUUACGACCAGGGCUACACACGUGCUACAAUGGCGCAUACAAAGAGAAGCGACCUCGCGAGAGCAAGCGGACCUCAUAAAGUGCGUCGUAGUCCGGAUUGGAGUCUGCAACUCGACUCCAUGAAGUCGGAAUCGCUAGUAAUCGUGGAUCAGAAUGCCACGGUGAAUACGUUCCCGGGCCUUGUACACACCGCCCGUCACACCAUGGGAGUGGGUUGCAAAAGAAGUAGGUAGCUUAACCUUCGGGAGGGCGCUUACCACUUUGUGAUUCAUGACUGGGGUGAAGUCGUAACAAGGUAACCGUAGGGGAACCUGCGGUUGGAUCACCUCCUUACCUGAAAGAAGC
RNAcentral lists this ribosomal RNA (1556 nucleotides) under Salmonella enterica subsp. enterica serovar Gaminara. RNAcentral describes it as "bacterial SSU rRNA". It matches the Rfam family "Bacterial small subunit ribosomal RNA". Lineage: Bacteria; Pseudomonadati; Pseudomonadota; Gammaproteobacteria; Enterobacterales; Enterobacteriaceae. The record is from RNAcentral.